AUUGAACGCUGGCGGCAGGCCUAACACAUGCAAGUCGAGCGGAUGAAGGGAGCUUGCUCCUGGAUUCAGCGGCGGACGGGUGAGUAAUGCCUAGGAAUCUGCCUGGUAGUUGGGGAUAACGUCCGUAAACGGGCGCUAAUACCGCAUACGUUCUGAUUGUGAAAGUGGGGGAUCUUCGGACCUCACGCUUUCAGAUGUGCCUAGGUCGUAUUAGCUAGUUGGUGGGGUAAAGGCCUACCAAGGCGACGAUCCGUAACUGGGCUGAGAGGAUGAUCAGUCACACUGGAACUGAGACACGGUCCAGACUCCUACGGGAGGCAGCAGUGGGGAAUAUUCGACAAUGGGCGAAAGCCUGAUCCAGCCAUGCCGCGUGUGUGAAGAAGGUCUUCGGAUUGUAAAGCACUUUAAGUUGGGAGGAAGGGCAGUAAGUUAAUACCUUGCUAUUUUGACGUUACCAACACAAUAAGCCCCGGCUAACUUCGUG
Molecule: ribosomal RNA, 484 nt
Filed under: uncultured bacterium
Lineage: Bacteria
Description: partial 16S ribosomal RNA
Rfam family: Bacterial small subunit ribosomal RNA
Source: RNAcentral